UACGUAGGGGGCGAGCGUUGUCCGGAAUCAUUGGGCGUAAAGCGCGUGUAGGCGGCUUGGCAAGUCUGACGUGAGAGCCCGCGGCUCAACCGCGGAUUUUCGUUGGAAACUGCCUCGCUAGAGUCCGGAAGAGGAGAGCGGAAUUCCUGGUGUAGCGGUGGAAUGCGCAGAUAUCAGGAAGAACACCCGUGGCGAAGGCGGCUCUCUGGGACGGUACUGACGCUGAGACGCGAAAGCGUGGGGAGCGAACAGG
RNAcentral lists this ribosomal RNA (253 nucleotides) under uncultured bacterium. RNAcentral describes it as "partial 16S ribosomal RNA". It matches the Rfam family "Bacterial small subunit ribosomal RNA", at positions 524 to 776 of the family's 1533-position model. The record is from RNAcentral.